RNAcentral lists this ribosomal RNA (259 nucleotides) under uncultured bacterium. RNAcentral describes it as "partial 16S ribosomal RNA". It matches the Rfam family "Bacterial small subunit ribosomal RNA", at positions 99 to 354 of the family's 1533-position model. The record is from RNAcentral.
CGCACGGGUGAGUAACGCGUAUGCGACCUGCCCGUUGCAGGGGGAUAAUCGGGAGAAAUCCCGUCUAAUACCGCGUAACGCCGCGGGGCUGCAUGGCCCUGCGGCCAAAGGGAGCGAUUCCGGCAACGGAUGGGCAUGCGUGACAUUAGCUAGUUGGCGGGGCAACGGCCCACCAAGGCGACGAUGUCUAGGGGUUCUGAGGGGAAGGUCCCCCACACUGGUACUGAGACACGGACCAGACUCCUACGGAAGGCAGCAG